Molecule: ribosomal RNA, 440 nt
Filed under: uncultured bacterium
Lineage: Bacteria
Description: partial 16S ribosomal RNA
Rfam family: Bacterial small subunit ribosomal RNA
Source: RNAcentral
CCUACGGGUGGCAGCAGUGGGGGAUAUUGCACAAUGGGGGAAACCCUGAUGCAGCGACGCCGCGUGAGUGAAGAAGUAUUUCGGUAUGUAAAGCUCUAUCAGCAGGGAAGAAAAUGACAGUACCUGACCAAGAAGCCCCGGCUAACUACGUGACAGCAGCCGCGGUAAAACGUAGGGAGCAGGCGUUAUCCGGAUUUAAUGGGUGUAAAGGGAGCGUAGACGGGUUUGUAAGUCUGGAGUGAAAGCCCGGGGGCCAACCCCGGGACUGCUUUGGAAACUGUGUAACUGGAGUACAGGAGGGGCAGGCGGAAUGCCUGGUGUAGCGGUGAAAUGCGUAGAUAGUAGGAGGAACACCAGUGGCGAAGGCAGCUUACUGGACUGUAAAUGACGCUGAGGCUCGAAAGCGUGGGGAGCAAACAGGAUUAGAUACCCCAGUAGUC